CAAGGACGUCUCACGGUGUGAAAAAUGCCCGGAUGGUGUAAGGGAAGAAAUGAAAAAAUAUGUUGAUGAAAAAAGGGAGCUAAAACAUCGGGAUUUAUUUCAACGGAAUGUGACUAAUAUUGAUGAUUAGUACUAUCUCUGAUCAGCUAGCAACAGUGUUUGGUCCAACUGCCGGAAGGAGUAACACCAUUUGUUCAAAUUACUCAAAAUGAGUUUUUAGGGCGAAAACAUAAGAAACUUAAAGAAGAGGACGUCGUUGUUUGUGAAUGCAAAUA
Solanum stenotomum is the source of this 275-nucleotide long non-coding RNA. RefSeq lists it as uncharacterized. The transcript is spliced from 3 exons. Lineage: Eukaryota; Viridiplantae; Streptophyta; Magnoliopsida; Solanales; Solanaceae. The record is from RefSeq and is a predicted model, not a curated record.